AAGGAAUAUUGGUCAAUGGAGGCAACUCUGAACCAGCCAUGCCGCGUGCAGGAAGACGGCCCUAUGGGUUGUAAACUGCUUUUAUUCGGGAAUAAACAUCUUUACGUGUAGAGAGUUGAAUGUACCGAAAGAAUAAGGAUCGGCUAACCCCGUGCCAGCAGCCGCGGUAAUACGGAGGAUCCAAGCGUUAUCCGGAUUUAUUGGGUUUAAAGGGUGCGUAGGCGGCUUAUUAAGUCAGGGGUGAAAGACGGUGGCUCAACCAUCGCAGUGCCUUUGAUACUGAUGAGCUUGAAUACACUUGAGGUAGGCGGAAUGUGACAAGUAGCGGUGAAAUGCAUAGAUAUGUCACAGAACACCAAUUGCGAAGGCAGCUUACUAAGGUGCAAUUGACGCUGAGGCACGAAAGCGUGGGGAUCAAA
This 419-nucleotide ribosomal RNA is filed under the name uncultured bacterium. RNAcentral describes it as "bacterial SSU rRNA". It matches the Rfam family "Bacterial small subunit ribosomal RNA", at positions 356 to 772 of the family's 1533-position model. The record is from RNAcentral.